Engraulis encrasicolus (European anchovy) is the source of this 823-nucleotide long non-coding RNA. RefSeq lists it as uncharacterized. Lineage: Eukaryota; Metazoa; Chordata; Actinopteri; Clupeiformes; Engraulidae. The record is from RefSeq and is a predicted model, not a curated record. The transcript is spliced from 3 exons.
CGAACCGCACUGUAGCAUAUUUCAACUAUCGUGCCUGCUAUUGUUUACAUAGAGCUACUCACAGUUUUGUCCUGUGCUUGUUUCGAGCACAGUGCAUAUCGUAAUCUUGCUUAUAAACUGAAAUGUGACCUGUGGCAUUAUUGCGUGAAUGCUUAUGUUGCACACUUAAUGAAUAAGGUCCUCAAGUGUGUAGAGUUUCGCUGAGUUCGUUGUUUAUUUACAUUUUCCUCAGCAUAACUGUACAGCUGACACCGCUGCCUUUUGUAUCAUAACAAAGCCUGUCACUUCCACAUUUCGUUCUUAUGUGGCCGAAGUCACUGGCUACUGCACCAGAGAGAGUCUCUGCACUCAUUGCUGGUCCUAUGAUGCCAUCUAUUGGCGAAAACGUGCAACAGCAUAAUUAAACUAAAAGACAACUUCUGACAGGACAACAAAAAGACAGGGAAUGAGAAUAAGGGAAUAAUAAGGGAAUAACAAAAAGACAAAAAUGGGGGGUCCACUACACUUGCAUACAAACUGAUUGUGAUGCUGUCACUCAUUUUCUAGUCUAUAUCUUGGACUGAAAAAACCUUAUUAUGUUUUCAGGUGUUUUGCCCCUGCGGUUGUGAAGAGGAUGCUGUGGAGGUGGCAGCAUGAACGUGUCACACAGACAUUGGCUAAACUACUCGGCUUCUACACUUGCCCUCAGAGUUCACAUAUGGUUAAGUGCACAGGUGUCCAGCCAGGUUCAGACUGAUGCUGGUAACAAGAGGAAAACAUGCUGAUUGGAAUGAUUCAACGAUGGACAUUUUGCUUAAUUGUGGAAAAAAAUAAAUGGAAAAAC